UUACGGCCAUAUCACGUUGAAACACCGGUUCUCGUCAGAUCACUGAAGUUAAGCAACGUUGAGCCUGUUCAGUACCUAGGUGGGUGACCGCUCUGAAGUACUAGGCGU
This 108-nucleotide ribosomal RNA is filed under the name Acanthosepion pharaonis. The record is from RNAcentral. Lineage: Eukaryota; Metazoa; Mollusca; Cephalopoda; Sepiida; Sepiidae.